AAUAUGUAGUCAAUUGUAGCCAGUAAGGACUACAUUUGGAUAUAAUAAGACAUACUUAAAGAUGUUUAGAUAAUAGAAGCUUUUGGAUACCACUUGUCCAAUAUAAACAUUUAACAGAGCAUAGAAGAGGAAAGAAAACUGGAAGAAAUCAAAAUACAAAUGCCUACAAAUGACAACAUUUAACCCCCGUUCAAUAGCCAGUUAUUGAAUACUAUAUUUAACUACAAAUAACUACAUUUAAACUACAAAUAACUGUGUAUAACAGCUACAAGAUACACAUGAAACUACAUUCAACCACAACAAACUACAG
RNAcentral lists this long non-coding RNA (310 nucleotides) under Nicotiana benthamiana. RNAcentral describes it as "long non-coding RNA (NBEN_LNC030346)". Lineage: Eukaryota; Viridiplantae; Streptophyta; Magnoliopsida; Solanales; Solanaceae. The record is from RNAcentral.